Molecule: unclassified non-coding RNA, 351 nt
Filed under: soil metagenome
Description: partial contains 5.8S ribosomal RNA, internal transcribed spacer 2, and large subunit ribosomal RNA
Rfam family: 5.8S ribosomal RNA (bases 1-120)
Source: RNAcentral
GAUGAAGAACGUAGCGAAAUGCGAUAAGUAAUGUGAAUUGCAGAAUUCAGUGAAUCAUCGAAUCUUUGAACGCACAUUGCGCCCGCCAGUAUUCUGGCGGGCAUGCCUGUUCGAGCGUCAUUACAACCCUCAGGCCCCCGGGCCUGGCGUUGGGGAUCGGCGGAGCCCCCCGUGGGCACACGCCGUCCCCCAAAUACAGUGGCGGUCCCGCCGCAGCUUCCAUCGCGUAGUAGCUAACACCUCGCGACUGGAGAGCGGCGCGGCCAUGCCGUAAAACACCCAACUUCUGAAUGUUGACCUCGAAUCAGGUAGGAAUACCCGCUGAACUUAAGCAUAUCAAUAAGCGGAGGA